UGACUGGUGUUGAGGACCAACACCAGCAGAUGACAUGCCCCUCCAAACCAUCACAGACUUCAGAAACUUCACUCUGGACUUCGAACACCUUGGUCUCUGUGCCUCUCCUCUCUCUUCCUCCAGACUCUAGGACCUUGAUUUAGGAAUGCAAUACUAACUUUCAUCUGAAAAGAGGAAUUUGGACCACUGAGCAGCAGUCCAGUUCUUUCUAUGCCCAGAGUGUCAGCUUCUCUCUCAGUCGGUUCACGUCAAAGUUCAGCACCUGUGAAGAGAAAAGAUUGAUGAAGAUGAUGCAGGGCUGCUGAACGAUUGCUGACACAACAUUUCAGAUACCUGAGAAGG
Notolabrus celidotus (New Zealand spotty) is the source of this 342-nucleotide long non-coding RNA. RefSeq lists it as uncharacterized. Lineage: Eukaryota; Metazoa; Chordata; Actinopteri; Labriformes; Labridae. The transcript is spliced from 2 exons. The record is from RefSeq and is a predicted model, not a curated record.